This 302-nucleotide long non-coding RNA is filed under the name Androctonus crassicauda. The record is from RNAcentral. Lineage: Eukaryota; Metazoa; Arthropoda; Arachnida; Scorpiones; Buthidae.
GUGUUUUUCUGUUUCAAUGAGGACCAUCUUUUUCAUCGUAUUAGGGAAAGAAUACCAAAGAACAGCAAUGGAAGGAUAAGACCAAAAAAGAUGGUCCUCAUUGAAACAGAGGGGUGCUGUGGCUUCCUGCAUGAAUGCAUUCAAAAGUCGGGUCCUGAGGUUCUUUGUGGGGACCCGACCUUGGAGCUGGGGACGGCGGUCGACGGGAUGACCAGCCGGGACCUCUUCCCGAGGUAUUGGAGGCACAGGAAAACAGCGGCCCCAAAUUAUGAACAACCACAGGCCUCAGAUGCAUUUCGGCU